This 329-nucleotide ribosomal RNA is filed under the name Madagascarophis meridionalis. Its description in RNAcentral is "partial 12S ribosomal RNA". The record is from RNAcentral. Lineage: Eukaryota; Metazoa; Chordata; Lepidosauria; Squamata.
UAAAAACUUAAAAUUUAAAAGACUUGACGGUGCUUCACAUCUCCCUAGAGGAGCCUGUCCAAUAACCCGAUAAUCCACGAUCAACCCAACCUUUUCUGGCCAAACAGUCUAUAUACCGCCGUCGCCAGCCUACCUUGUGAAAGAAAUAAAGUAAGCACAACAGCACCACGCUAGUACGACAGGUCGAGGUGUAACUAAUGAAAAGGUUAAGAUGGGCUACAUUUCUUAAACUAAGAAAACGAACAGACUAUGAAACUAGAAACUGAAGACGGAUUUAGCAGUAGGAUAAGAACAAAAUACUUACCCGAAACCAAAGCAAUGAAGUGCGC